RNAcentral lists this transfer RNA (70 nucleotides) under Rattus norvegicus (Norway rat). It matches the Rfam family "tRNA". From Rfam's summary of the family: Transfer RNA (tRNA) molecules are approximately 80 nucleotides in length. Their secondary structure includes four short double-helical elements and three loops (D, anti-codon, and T loops). Further hydrogen bonds mediate the characteristic L-shaped molecular structure. tRNAs have two regions of fundamental functional importance: the anti-codon, which is responsible for specific mRNA codon recognition, and the 3' end, to which the tRNAs corresponding amino acid is attached (by aminoacyl-tRNA synthetases). tRNAs cope with the degeneracy of the genetic code in two manners: having more than one tRNA (with a specific anti-codon) for a particular amino acid; and 'wobble' base-pairing, i.e. permitting non-standard base-pairing at the 3rd anti-codon position. The record is from Rfam by way of RNAcentral. Lineage: Eukaryota; Metazoa; Chordata; Mammalia; Rodentia; Muridae.
CAGAAUUUGGCUCAGUGGUAGAGCACUUGCCUAGCAAGCGCAAGGUCCUGGGUUCAGUUCCCAGCUCUGA